Molecule: long non-coding RNA, 681 nt
Filed under: Ananas comosus (pineapple)
Lineage: Eukaryota; Viridiplantae; Streptophyta; Magnoliopsida; Poales; Bromeliaceae
Description: long non-coding RNA (ACOM_LNC042070)
Source: RNAcentral
AUCUAUUUCAGCCCACAUCCAAAUUUGGAUCCAAAAAAGAAAAGGAAGAAUAAAAUCCCUCAACCCAAGCCCACAAAGUCCACAAAUAAAGAUCCAAAACCCAAAGUCCACAAAUAAAGUCCAAAACUCAAAACCCAAAGAUCCAAAACCCAAAGUCCACAAAUAAAGUCCAAAACUCAAAACCCAAAGAUCCAAAAUCCAAAGUCCAUAAAUAACACCCAACCAGAUCUACCAAACCUAUGUCUCGAAUUAAUUUCUUGGGCUUUCUAAAUGGGCCUCUUAUCAUAAAAUCAAUUCUACAAAUUAAUUUUAUGGAUUUCCCUCAUAGGCCCUUCUAUCACGAAUUAAUUCUAUGAAUUAAUUUCAUGGGCCUCUUUGUCAUAAAUUAAAUUCAUGAACUAACGGGCCUUCCAAAUGGCUCAUUAUCAUCCAAUUAAAAGGGCUCUCCAAAUGCCCCUUAUCAUGAAUUAAUUUCAUCAAUUAAUUCAAUGGACUUUACAAACGGGCUUCUAGCAUGAAUUAAUUUCAUGAAUUAGCUUCAUGAACAGCUCGAUUUCAAACGACCGAAAAGUCGCUAAACUAAACCCAAAUUUCAAACGACCGAAACGUCGCUAAACUAAACCCAAAUUUCAAACGACCGUAACGUCGCUAAACUAAACCCAAAUUUCAAACGACCGAAAA